GUGGGGAAUAUUGGACAAUGGGGGCAACCCUGAUCCAGCAAUACCUCGUGUGUGAAGAAGGCCUUAGGGUUGUAAAGCACUUUCAAUUGGGAAGAAAAGUUUAAGAUUAAUACUCUUAGACCUUGACGGUACCUUUAGAAGAAGCACCGGCUAACUCCGUGCCAGCAGCCGCGGUAAUACGGAGGGUGCAAGCGUUAAUCGGAAUUACUGGGCGUAAAGCGCGCGUAGGUGGUUUGAUAAGUCAGAUGUGAAAGCCCUGGGCUCAACCUGGGAACUGCAUUUGAAACUGUCUCACUAGAGUAUGGUAGAGGGAAGUGGAAUUCCACAUGUAGCGGUGAAAUGCGUAGAGAUGUGGAGGAACACCAGUGGCGAAGGCGACUUCCUGGACCAAUACUGACACUGAGGUGCGAAAGCGUGGGGAGCAAACAGG
RNAcentral lists this ribosomal RNA (430 nucleotides) under uncultured bacterium. Its description in RNAcentral is "bacterial SSU rRNA". It matches the Rfam family "Bacterial small subunit ribosomal RNA", at positions 354 to 776 of the family's 1533-position model. The record is from RNAcentral.